GAUGAACGCUGGCGGCGUGCCUAAUACAUGCAAGUCGAGCGAACGGACGAGAAGCUUGCUUCUCUGAUGUUAGCGGCGGACGGGUGAGUAACACGUGGAUAACCUACCUAUAAGACUGGGAUAACUUCGGGAAACCGUAGCUAAUACCGGAUAAUAUUUUGAACCGCAUGGUUCAAAAGUGAAAGACGGUCUUGCUGUCACUUAUAGAUGGAUCCGCGCUGCAUUAGCUAGUUGGUAGGGUAACGGCUUACCAAGGCAACGAUGCAUAGCCGGCCUGAGAGGGUGAUCGGCCACACUGGAACUGAGACACGGUCCAGACUCCUACGGGAGGCAGCAGUAGGGAAUCUUCCGCAAUGGGCGAAAGCCUGACGGAGCAACGCCGCGUGAGUGAUGAAGGUCUUCGGAUCGUAAAACUCUGUUAUUAGGGAAGAACAUAUGUGUAAGUAACUGUGCACAUCUUGACGGUACCUAAUCAGAAAGCCACGGCUAACUACGUG
This 497-nucleotide ribosomal RNA is filed under the name uncultured bacterium. Its description in RNAcentral is "partial 16S ribosomal RNA". It matches the Rfam family "Bacterial small subunit ribosomal RNA", at positions 28 to 507 of the family's 1533-position model. The record is from RNAcentral.